GCAUUCAGCAGUGGCAGGAACAGCGUGGGCAAAUGGCGGAAGAAGUGCUCCUCAAUUAUUGAACAAGAAUGGGGGUCUAUAAUUAAAGGCCUACCACAUCUGGAUAGGAAGACAGGCGAUCAAGUGACAUCUACGUUAAGUGUAGCAAUUUUCACAACAAGGAUUCUGUUGUGCUUGAAGCCUUAUCCUUUCUGGAUGAGGUGAGGACUCUGCAGAGCGUACUGAGAGGAACAUCAUAAAGGCUACAGUGAUCCCUGGCUUCUGCAUUUUUGAGCUACUUUUGGGUAUAAGUAUAUAUAUACCCCUGGCAUAUGCUUUGAGCAGUACGUUUCAGUGUAGUCAUACAUCCUGGCAAACUCAAGGUAAGUUUCACUCAUAAG
Molecule: long non-coding RNA, 380 nt
Filed under: Numida meleagris (helmeted guineafowl)
Lineage: Eukaryota; Metazoa; Chordata; Aves; Galliformes; Numididae
Description: lncRNA (ENSNMEG00000014991.1)
Source: RNAcentral